AUGAUUAGAUUGCUCUGUUCAAAGGACAACGGUUGGUGCAUAUCAGAGUUCAAAUCUGGCCAUAACCACCCGCUAUUUGUGACAUGUGGAGAAAAAACGCAUUGGAAGUCACACAGGCACAUCGAUAGAUACACAAAGGAUCUGGUGAAACAACUCCGCGAUAAUAAUGUUGGUCUUGGGAAGGUUUUCAGCAUUGUGGGGAGUUUUUUUGGCUCAGUUGAAAAUGUGCCAUUUACAAAGCGUUCAUUGAAGACACUAUGUAGGAAGCUGAACAAGGACCAGUCAGACUCUGACGCUAUGAAAACAAUGGAAAUUCUGGCUUAUAUGAAAGCAAAUGACCCUGACUUCAAUUACACCGUGCAAUUAGAUGAAGACAGCAGGAUAAAAACACUCAUGUGGGUUACAAGUAGGGGGUGUGAUCAGUAUCGGUAUUUCGGUGAUGCAAUUACAUUUGACACAACAUACAGGACCAACCUAUAUGACAUGUCGUUUGGUCUUUUCGUUGGUGUCAACAAUCACUUCCAGAGUAUAAUCUUUGGAGGGGUCAUGAUGAGAGAUGAGAAAGAAGAAUCUUUCAAGUGGGUGUUCCAGGAGUUCAUACGUAUGGUUGGUGGGAAGCAUCCACAAACUAUACUAACAGAUCAAGCACGCUCUAUGGAAAUUGCAAUUAAGGCAGAAAUGCCAAACACAGUACAUCGUUGGUGCAAGUGGCAUGUCCUGAAAAAAGUGAAAGAGUCAAUGGGUGUGCUUUGGAGCAAGAACAGAGAAUUCAAAAUGGAGUUUCACAAGAUUGUACAUCACAUGACCGCGGAGGAGGAAUUUGAGCAAGGGUGGCAGCAGAUGUUGGACAAGUACUCACUCAAGAAACAUCCGUUUCUGACGCAGAUAUACGAAGUCCGCCAUAAAUGGGCUAAACCAUAUUUCAUGGGUGUCUUAUGUGCUAAAAUGACGAGCACACAAAGGAGUGAGAGCGCAAAUCACCUGCUGAAGGGGUACGUGCCUCCAGGAUGUCCAAUGCAUCUGUUCCUCAAGUAG
This 1035-nucleotide ribosomal RNA is filed under the name Triticum aestivum (bread wheat). RNAcentral describes it as "partial small subunit ribosomal RNA". Lineage: Eukaryota; Viridiplantae; Streptophyta; Magnoliopsida; Poales; Poaceae. The record is from RNAcentral.